RNAcentral lists this ribosomal RNA (455 nucleotides) under Streptococcus sanguinis. RNAcentral's name for it is "bacterial SSU rRNA". It matches the Rfam family "Bacterial small subunit ribosomal RNA", at positions 28 to 467 of the family's 1533-position model. Lineage: Bacteria; Bacillati; Bacillota; Bacilli; Lactobacillales; Streptococcaceae. The record is from RNAcentral.
GACGAACGCUGGCGGCGUGCCUAAUACAUGCAAGUAGAACGCUGAAGAGAGGAGCUUGCUCUUCUUGGAUGAGUUGCGAACGGGUGAGUAACGCGUAGGUAACCUGCCUGGUAGCGGGGGAUAACUAUUGGAAACGAUAGCUAAUACCGCAUAAAAUUGAUUAUUGCAUGAUAAUUAAUUGAAAGAUGCAACUGCAUCACUACCAGAUGGACCUGCGUUGUAUUAGCUAGUUGGUGAGGUAACGGCUCACCAAGGCGACGAUACAUAGCCGACCUGAGAGGGUGAUCGGCCACACUGGGACUGAGACACGGCCCAGACUCCUACGGGAGGCAGCAGUAGGGAAUCUUCGGCAAUGGGGGGAACCCUGACCGAGCAACGCCGCGUGAGUGAAGAAGGUUUUCGGAUCGUAAAGCUCUGUUGUAAGAGAAGAACGGGUGUGAGAGUGGAAAGUUCAC